Cyanistes caeruleus (blue tit) is the source of this 2878-nucleotide non-coding RNA. NCBI's taxonomy places the organism in Eukaryota, Metazoa, Chordata, Aves, Passeriformes, Paridae. The record is from RefSeq and is a predicted model, not a curated record.
CCAGCCAGCCAGGGAUGUUCAGACCACUGCUGACAGGUAGCCUGAAAAGCAGAAGAUCUCCUAGGAUGUUAGCAGGAAGGAUCUGAGGACGACCUUUGGGGAUCUCUGAGGGUCUAGACCUACCAUAUCUUAUCUUGAAGCUGCUCCCAGAGCUCUUCAUCCCCUUGAUUCUUCAGGGUAAGAAGAGUUACACAGCGGAAGGAGCAAUGUCAGAAGGCAUCCGCUUACAAGCUGGAAAUUAGAUGGAGCUGCAAAGUCAGUUGCUGCCUUAGGCCCUGUCUUGGCUGCAUUAGCUGUGGUUAUACUGUGUGCCUCAGCAGUGCUCUUCAGCUCCCCAUGGAAACUGCAGCCAGAAAGGGAGAAACAAGACAUUCUGGCAAGUCCAGCCAUAUCAGGGUGAGGAGAGGACCAAGACACACACAGACAAAAACACCAGGAUGAAGAGUGCUCUUGUCUUCCAGCUUCUGAUAAGAACAAAUGUGUGAGCCCCAGAGAGAGAGCAGCAAUCCCUUCUGGAAAUGGCUUGGGAAUACCAUGGAGGAAGCAGGAGCAUUGGUGAGAUUUUGAAGACGGAAGAGUGAAAGAUGAGGUGCUAAAUCUGAGACUGUGGCUGCUAAAAUGAGCUGCUGAACAUCAGAGAGCAGGAAUUACUGCAUUUCCCAAGAGUUCUGCAGAACCUCUGAGCCCUUUCUUUCUAGUAAUAGAAAUCCAUGUGGGUCUCAAGAAGUGUUAAAAUAAGAGUUUUUGAAAGCAACAGUUUUUCAUAAAGGCAAAAAUAUAUUUUAUAUAUAAAAUAUGUAUCCUAUGCUCUAUGUUUAUCUGGUUUGCCCAUUUCAGGUCCCCUGAGCAGAUAAUGCUGCAUCCUCAGCUCCCACACUCUCCGCCCUCAGCUCCCUCACCCUCCAUCCUGGCCACUGUGCUGUACAUUAUUUCAAAGGAGCACAGCUGGGUGCUGGACUGUAAUUUCUCUUGCAGCUCAGAUCAGGUCCAUUAGUUUAUUUGAAGGUUAGGACCAAGACCAUAAAAGUGCAUAAGGAGCUAAUAGACAGACUGGUGUUCCUGCUGUGCUCAUGGGGGCUUGAACAAGGGAGAAAAUAGCCAGGCACAUCCAUAUUAUUUUCAUCUUUUGCUUCACAAUUUGCGGGAGUCUCAUUCAUAAAUGACAAAGAAACAGCUCCCUGCUGUGAGGUCCUCAUACCACAGAGAGCUGUAAUGAGUUUGUAACGAGAUGGAGAUAAGGUUUUUAGUGAUUACUCAGACAAACCUCUGAGUGCAAAUCAGAGAUGUGCUGAGCAAGGGGUAUAUCUUUCCAUCACUCUCCAUGGCUUAAACAUCUGAGGAUACUUAAGGUAUUCUCAUGGUAUUAUGUAAGAAGAGCUCAGUAAGACAAAAACGCCCUAAAUGCAUCUUUAUGGAUUUUUCGCCUUUGCUGUAUGUCAGAAACUUUUGUCAUUUGACGGCCACCAGCAGUAAUUAAUGGCUAGCAAUAUGUCUAGGGGCAAUGUAUGUUUCAAAGUCAGUAACAGGAAAGCCUCCAUGAUCUGGAAAGUCUUUGGCUGUGGAACUGUCUCCUUGCAAAAUCACAAACAAGUAUUUUGCCUAUGUGCUCAUUGAAGAGUUCCAAAUAAAUAGCUGGAAUAUAAAUGAAGAGGAGUGAAGAACAGGAGAUUGUUUACCUUAGAGUGUGGUGCUAAACUGAGAUUUAAGAGUUGUUUCUGUUUUGGUCUUUUAUGAUAGCUUCAGUAUAUUUAUAUUUUUCAUAGGUAUGCAUAUAUAUUUGUGGAGGUGUAUACAUACAUAUAAGUGCUCCUGAAAGAAAUGUUUUAUUUUCAUUUUCUUAGAAGCAUCAGGUGUUUUCUGUGUUGAAUCUUAGCAUAGGUAAUAUAUAUCCAGAUAUUAAAGUAACCAUGGCAAAAUAAAGAAAUAUUUCCAAAGAUGACUCCUGUACCUCAUUGACUGCUCUUUCCAAAAUGUGUGGUUAUGAAUAAACCAUUUACUUCCACAAGUAUAUUCUCUGCAGGAUUUCAGGUACAAAAUAAUUAAAAGGUCAGAGAAUUACAAUAAACAGGUUUACUGCAUCUCUGUAUAACAUAAAUCUCAUUUCUAUUUGUCUUGUUCUGUCCUUCUUAAUUAAAACAUCAGACCACACGUACAGUCUGGAGCAGCUCAAUUAUGAAAGGUUAGAUCCAUCAGUUUAUUCCUGAUUGGUUUAUUAAUUACUGGCCUUGACUUUUGAUUCAAAUCAACACUCUUUCCUCAGGAUAAAAGUGUGUAUUUUGUUACAAAUAAUAUACUGCACUUUUAAACAAAAAUAUAUUGGAAACAUUUACAAAAAAGCUGCCACUGGACUUGGCUUUGAUGGAAUUAUGUUGGCUUGUUCCAUGAAGUCUGACUUUCACACGUGAUCCCUGGCGAAUUUCUAAAAAGUCUUGUUACUGAAUCCCUUUAAUCCAUAAAAGGAAUGAAAAACAUGCUGUGAGCUGAAAUUCUGUUUCAGUUUUGUAAAGAUGUUUCAAAUACAUAAUUUUUAUCAAUGGUUUUCAAGAUAUUUAAAAAUGAGACUUCUGAUGGUUCUGUGGAAACAUUUUGUUUGCAAACCUGCUGUAUUGUGCCACCUGAUGUGCUCCAAAGAAGUGGAAGAACUUUUGACAGUAAAUCUUGCAGAAAUGGCUAAGUUGUGCCUGGAGACGCUGUGGAUGCUGUUAAAGACAAGAUAUGAAGGGACCCAUCCAUUAAAGAUAAGACAAGGCAGGAGUUUGCUCUUCCUUUGUUAUUUUACCUAUGUACUUCAGCAAUUUGGAUAUCGCAUAUACAUGAAAGCAGUGGCAGUUAAGAAAGGCUUUAUUUAUUUACUCCAGCAGUAAAUGCAUUUCUCACC